CCUACGGGAGGCAGCAGUGGGGAAUAUUGCACAAUGGGGGAAACCCUGAUGCAGCGACGCCGCGUGAGUGAAGAAGUAAUUCGUUAUGUAAAGCUCUAUCAGCAGGGAAGAAAAUGACGGUACCUGAGUAAGAAGCCCCGGCUAACUACGUGCCAGCAGCCGCGGUAAUACGUAGGGGGCAAGCGUUAUCCGGAUUUACUGGGUGGAAAGGGAGCGUAGACGGCAGUGCAAGUCUGGAGUGAAAGGCGGGGGCUCAACCCCCGGACUGCUCUGGAAACUGUACGGCUGGAGUGCAGGAGAGGUGAGUAGAAUUCCUAGUGUAGCGGUGAAAUGCGUAGAUAUUAGGAGGAACACCAGUGGCGAAGGCGGCUUACUGGACUGUAACUGACGUUGAGGCUCGAAAGCGUGGGGAGCAAACAGGAUUAGAUACCCGAGUAGUC
This 440-nucleotide ribosomal RNA is filed under the name uncultured bacterium. RNAcentral describes it as "partial 16S ribosomal RNA". It matches the Rfam family "Bacterial small subunit ribosomal RNA", at positions 338 to 795 of the family's 1533-position model. The record is from RNAcentral.